Molecule: ribosomal RNA, 264 nt
Filed under: uncultured bacterium
Lineage: Bacteria
Description: partial 16S ribosomal RNA
Rfam family: Bacterial small subunit ribosomal RNA
Source: RNAcentral
ACGAACGCUGGCGGCGUGCUUAACACAUGCAAGUCGAACGGAAAGGCCCCUGCUUUUGUGGGGUGCUCGAGUGGCGAACGGGUGAGUAACACGUGAGUAACCUGCCCUUGACUUUGGGAUAACUUCAGGAAACUGGGGCUAAUACCGGAUAGGAGCUCCUGCUGCAUGGUGGGGGUUGGAAAGUUUCGGCGGUUGGGGAUGGACUCGCGGCUUAUCAGCUUGUUGGUGGGGUAGUGGCUUACCAAGGCUUUUGACGGGUAGCCG